AGGAUGAACGCUGGCGGCGUGCCUAACACAUGCAAGUCGAACGUCCUGUCUCGCAAGAGGCAGGGAGUGGCGGACGGGUGAGUACCACGUGGGUGAUCUACCGUGAGGUGAGGAAUACCGGCGAGAAAUCGCCGACAAGACCGCAUAGCCUCGGUGCAAGCCGAGGAAAGCGUUUCUCGAGAGAGGGAGCGCCACACGAGGAGCCUGCGCCCGAUUAGCUAGCUGGUGGAGUAACGGUUCACCAGGGCGACGAUCCGGUAGC
This 262-nucleotide ribosomal RNA is filed under the name uncultured bacterium. Its description in RNAcentral is "partial small subunit ribosomal RNA". It matches the Rfam family "Bacterial small subunit ribosomal RNA", at positions 26 to 287 of the family's 1533-position model. The record is from RNAcentral.